RNAcentral lists this unclassified non-coding RNA (409 nucleotides) under Hevea brasiliensis (rubber tree). The record is from RNAcentral. Lineage: Eukaryota; Viridiplantae; Streptophyta; Magnoliopsida; Malpighiales; Euphorbiaceae.
UGCAGUGAGAAAAUUGAAAGAGAUUCAGGUCUUAUUUCAUUCACUACUCGCUUACUGGUGCCGACCUCACGGAUCGGUUGUCUCCUUGGUAAAGGUGGAGCAAUUAUAAAUGAGAUGAGGAAAGCGACCAAAGCUAAUAUUCGCAUACUCGGAAAGGACAACCUUCCCAAGGUGGCAUCUGAAGAUGAUGAAAUGGUGCAGAUCUCUGGAGAUCUUGAUGUUGCUAAAGAUGCUCUCUUACAUGUCAGUCGACGGUUAAGAGCAAAUGUUUUUGAUAGGGAAGGUGCUGUAUCUGCAUUUCUGCCAGUUCUGCCUUACCUUCCUGUCUCAGCCGAUAGUUCGGAUGGCUUAAAUUAUGAUAACAGAGAUAGUAAAAGACAUGGACGUGGGCAUUCUUAUUCUGGUGGCU